AGCAGAGAUGCUUUAGUGCCUUCGGGAACUCUGAGACAGGUGCUGCAUGGCUGUCGUCAGCUCGUGUUGUGAAAUGUUGGGUUAAGUCCCGNAACGAGCGCAACCCUUUAUCCUUUGUUGCCAGCACGUAAUGGUGGGAACUCAAAGGAGACUGCCGGUGAUAAACCGGAGGAAGGUGGGGAUGACGUCAAGUCAUCAUGGCCCUUACGAGUAGGGCUACACACGUGCUACAAUGGCGCAUACAAAGAGAAGCGACCUCGCGAGAGCAAGCGGACCUCAUAAAGUGCGUCGUAGUCCGGAUUGGAGUCUGCGACUCGACUCCAUGAAGUCGGAAUCGCUAGUAAUCGUAAAUCAGAAUGUUACGGUGAAUACGUUCCCGGGCCUUGUACACACCGCCCGUCACACCAUGGGAGUGGGUUGCAAAAGAAGUAGAUAGCUUAACCUUCGGGAGGGCGUUUACCACUUUGUGAUUCAUGACUGGGGUGAAGUCGUAACAAGGUAAGCGUAGUGCU
RNAcentral lists this ribosomal RNA (512 nucleotides) under uncultured bacterium. RNAcentral describes it as "bacterial SSU rRNA". It matches the Rfam family "Bacterial small subunit ribosomal RNA", at positions 999 to 1509 of the family's 1533-position model. The record is from RNAcentral.